CAGGAAGAGAGCUGGCCGGAAGAUAUGUACCCUGUGAAGACCGAGAGAGAGGCCGUCCAGCCUCAGCACGCCUGCACCCAGGCGCUCAUUAAAACAGCAUGUUGCUCCCCACUGCCUCGUGUUGUCUGUUGGCGCGCUGUCGGGGUUCGAACCGAUACAAGAACCUUCCACCUACCUGGUGCUUUGGCCUCAUCUAUAAGCUUUUCCACUGUCCUGAAACAAGAUAGAGAAUCUGAGCGGCCAGUCAUCUGCCCUAAGUGCUGCCGCCGAAGACUGAAUGUCCUGGAAAGUUUGCUGUCACAUCUCCAUUAUGACAAAAGCAUUGUGCCGAACAGAUGAAAAAAUGCAUUGUCAACGGAAUCUUUUAUGUUUGUUUGUCUUCCUUUAAGCAACAUUGCCUUACUUGUUAUAAAAGAUAAAUAAAUAUUUGUUCAUUUCAA
Molecule: long non-coding RNA, 440 nt
Filed under: Homo sapiens (human)
Lineage: Eukaryota; Metazoa; Chordata; Mammalia; Primates; Hominidae
Description: HSALNT0335004
Source: RNAcentral